Long non-coding RNA from Salvelinus namaycush (lake trout), 533 nucleotides. RefSeq lists it as uncharacterized. Lineage: Eukaryota; Metazoa; Chordata; Actinopteri; Salmoniformes; Salmonidae. The record is from RefSeq and is a predicted model, not a curated record. The transcript has 3 exons.
UUUGUUUGCAUAGUGGCUAACUUUGCUAGCUAUGUCAUUUCCAACUAUUUAAAACGCUCUUUGUAUGUCCGUGAGUCAAACUGUGUUGGAAACGUUAAAACGCACUCUCUCGUCGACAAGACCUGCAAUGGCUUGCUCUUAGUCAUGCAAGUAACGUUAGUUGAAAUGUAGUAACUGUUAGCUAACGGCUAACUUGACAGCUAGUAUAGCUAGGAUAGGAAUAGGAUGUGCUGUUAGGAAGUUAGCCAGCCAACACUGAUUAUGUUUCUGCUUAUUCGUCUGUUAUGCUUCUACUUGUUUUAAAUAACUUCUGCGCUAUGGACACCGAGGGAAUAGAGAUCCGUAUAAAGACUCCCGUCGGGGAUAUGGACUCAUCCGUGGACUGCCCAUCACUUUUGAGCUUCAGUGACUUGUUGGUCGCUAUAAGGGAUGUCAUGCCCGAAACCACAAUCACUGCGUUUGAAUAUGAGGAUGAGGUGGGCGAUAGAAUCACUGUGAGGAGUGAUGAAGAACUCAAAGCCAUGCUGUCAUAU